This 87-nucleotide transfer RNA is filed under the name Streptomyces pseudogriseolus. RNAcentral's name for it is "tRNA-Ala". It matches the Rfam family "tRNA". Rfam says of the family: Transfer RNA (tRNA) molecules are approximately 80 nucleotides in length. The record is from RNAcentral. Lineage: Bacteria; Bacillati; Actinomycetota; Actinomycetes; Kitasatosporales; Streptomycetaceae. RNAcentral also lists the same sequence under 1 other name.
GGAGGAUUGGCCGAGUGGUAAGGCACCGGUUUGGCUCAAGCCGUGGUCGGGUGAGAGCCCGCGCACGUUCGAUCCGUGCAUCCUCCG